Manis pentadactyla (Chinese pangolin) is the source of this 731-nucleotide long non-coding RNA. RefSeq lists it as uncharacterized. NCBI's taxonomy places the organism in Eukaryota, Metazoa, Chordata, Mammalia, Pholidota, Manidae. The transcript is spliced from 3 exons. The record is from RefSeq and is a predicted model, not a curated record.
GGCAUUCUUCACCUAAGGGACAGGUGGAUGGACGCCAGGGGUCUGAAAGGAACAGUGUUUGUCAUGGAUGGAGGUGUGCAUGAAGGAGGCAUCCUGAGCAGCAGGAUUAAAAAUCACAAAGAAAGAUGCCUGGAAGGGUAGCUGGCCCCACCACAUGUGGCCACACCCACAUGAAUGCCAACAGCAGGUCUCUGUGGGGAGGCACACAGCAGAAAGAGCACAGCCCGAUUUGCAGAUGCCUGCUGGAGCUGGUAGCCUGGAGAAAAAAGGCCACUUUCCCUGAAGAGUAACUGCCUUUAGGAACUAGACCACCUUGAUCUUCAGAUACUUGAAGGACAUUUUUUGAAGAUCCUACCAGCAGGAACUGUGCUCAGGGGCACCGCUGCACUGUUGAGAUUAAUCUGACCUCACCACCCUCAGUCCUAGGAGCAAACUCCAGGCGGCAGCUGUGCAGGUGCCGCUGCUUGGCGCCAGCCCUUCGUCCCUGCGGCCCUGCACAUGCUGCUCUUCCCUUCCCAGGGGUGGAGCUGGGGACACUUCCUUGCACUUCCUCUGCAGCAGCCCAAGCCCUGCAAAGGAGACUGGGCUCCCCCAGAGCCCACCAGGCAGCUCCAUCUGGCUCCCAAGAUGGAGGGUGUGGCAGAAGUCUCCAGAGGAGAUGUUUUCAGCCUUCAGAAGCUGUGAGACCACCUGGGUCCAAAGCCUGAUUCUACUGCCUGCCACCUUCACGG